UCCAUUGCCUCCUCCAAUCUCUUCUUCUCCGUAUCAAGAUCCCAAUUAUUGAGGAGCAGGAUCCUUCCGGAAGUGGUCUUGAGCCCCCAUCGUGGCUAAUGGAACAGGACCAAGGCGAGACGGUAUGGUCCGACGGAAGACCUGCGAGUCCAUCUCAUCCCCGCCUCCUCUCAGAUGGUAGCGCACCGCGAUCGAGGCUGCUGGAGCACGACGACGAUGGGCCGGUGAUGGACGGCUGGGAAACCGGCGACUCCUCGUUAUCUCCACCUCAUCUCAGGUCGGUCACUGCCAGUAAACUUAGGAACCCUUCUCCUCUACUGAUCGGGAACAUCGUUCUUGUCUUUCAAGAUUCUUUCAGUGGCGGUAGCGCACCCCGAUGACGAACGUUGGAACUCGAGGACGACGACCAGCUUGGACGACGGCCCAGAAGAAAAGUGGGUGAUCAUCUUCUCCUCGAUCUCUUUCCAGGUCUGUCACAAUCCCCUUGACCGAUUUGUUCUUUUCCUCCAUUCUUCUCGUUGUUCCAAGUAAUCAUUAGAUCUUAAAGAACAUAAUAAUUUCUCCCUUAGUUUUGGGGCUGAUCUCUUGUAGAAUGUUUACUUUUACGUGAUAUUGUGAAAUUAUGGGAACGACGGUUCGUUGUGUAUGAAUGGGAAGUCUGGGAGUGGUCAUCGCCUCUGGUUGUUCAUCAACUAACAACGAUGAAUCUUUGACUUGGGGAUUUUAUGAGAUUACGUAUAUGGGUCAUCUUUAGUCUUUGAUAACCCUUGAGGUGCUCUAGGUUGUUGGGUAGUGGAAAAGUGGUAGGACUUGCAAGAAUAAAGAAAGAUCUAGUGGUGCAUUAUUCGAUUUA
Musa acuminata subsp. malaccensis (wild Malaysian banana) is the source of this 853-nucleotide non-coding RNA. The record is from RefSeq and is a predicted model, not a curated record. Lineage: Eukaryota; Viridiplantae; Streptophyta; Magnoliopsida; Zingiberales; Musaceae.